GCCCCGGUGGUGAAAUUGGUAGACACGCAGGACUUAAAAUCCUGUUCGCAGCAAUGCGAGUGCCGGUUCGACCCCGGCCCGGGGCACAA
This 89-nucleotide transfer RNA is filed under the name Cnuella takakiae. RNAcentral's name for it is "tRNA-Leu". It matches the Rfam family "tRNA". Rfam says of the family: Transfer RNA (tRNA) molecules are approximately 80 nucleotides in length. The record is from RNAcentral. Lineage: Bacteria; Pseudomonadati; Bacteroidota; Chitinophagia; Chitinophagales; Chitinophagaceae.